RNAcentral lists this ribosomal RNA (509 nucleotides) under uncultured Pseudomonadota bacterium. Its description in RNAcentral is "bacterial SSU rRNA". It matches the Rfam family "Bacterial small subunit ribosomal RNA", at positions 395 to 896 of the family's 1533-position model. The record is from RNAcentral. Lineage: Bacteria; Pseudomonadati; Pseudomonadota.
UGCCGCGUGUGUGAAGAAGGCCUUCGGUUGUAAAGCACUUUCGGCCGGAACGAAAUCGUCCCCGUUAAUACCGGGGAUGGAUGACGGUACCGGAAGAAGAAGCACCGGCUAACUACGUGCCAGCAGCCGCGGUAAUACGUAGGGUGCGAGCGUUAAUCGGAAUUACUGGGCGUAAAGUGUGCGCAGGUGGCCGCGCAAGUCGAGUGUGAAAUCCCCGGGCUUAACUUGGGAAUUGCGCUCGAAGCUACGUGGCUAGAGUGUGGCAGAGGAAGGUGGAAUUCCACGUGUAGCGGUGAAAUGCGUAGAGAUGUGGAGGAACACCGAUGGCGAAGGCAGCCUUCUGGGCCAACACUGACGCUCAUGCACGAAAGCGUGGGGAGCAAACAGGAUUAGAUACCCUGGUAGUCCACGCCCUAAACGAUGAUGACUAGUUGUUGGGGGAGUUAAAUCCCUUAGUAACGCAGCUAACGCGUGAAGUCAUCCGCCUGGGGAGUACGGUCGCAGGAUUA